Molecule: ribosomal RNA, 529 nt
Filed under: Fusarium oxysporum
Lineage: Eukaryota; Fungi; Ascomycota; Sordariomycetes; Hypocreales; Nectriaceae
Description: eukaryotic LSU rRNA
Source: RNAcentral
AGGGAUCAUUACGGAGUUAUACAACUCAUCAACCCUGUGAACAUACCUAAAACGUUGCCUCGGCGGGAACAGACGGCCCCGUAACACGGGCCGCCCCCGCCAGAGGACCCCCUAACUCUGUUUCUAUAAUGUUUCUUCUGAGUAAACAAGCAAAUAAAUUAAAACUUUCAACAACGGAUCUCUUGGCUCUGGCAUCGAUGAAGAACGCAGCGAAAUGCGAUAAGUAAUGUGAAUUGCAGAAUUCAGUGAAUCAUCGAAUCUUUGAACGCACAUUGCGCCCGCCAGUAUUCUGGCGGGCAUGCCUGUUCGAGCGUCAUUACAACCCUCAGGSCCCCGGGCCUGGCGUUGGGGAUCGGCGGAAGCCCCCUGCGGGCACAACGCCGUCCCCCAAAUACAGUGGCGGUCCCGCCGCAGCUUCCAUUGCGUAGUAGCUAACACCUCGCAACUGGAGAGCGGCGCGGCCACGCCGUAAAACACCCAACUUCUGAAUGUUGACCUCGAAUCAGGGAGGAAUACCCGCUGAACUUAA